GCGGCGUGCUACACAUGCAGUCGAACGAUGAAGCCCUUCGGGGUGGAUUAGUGGCGAACGGGUGAGUAACACGUGGGCAAUCUGCCCUGCACUCUGGGACAAGCCCUGGAAACGGGGUCUAAUACCGGAUAUGACCGUCCAUCGCAUGGUGGAUGGUGUAAAGCUCCGGCGGUGCAGGAUGAGCCCGCGGCCUAUCAGCUAGUUGGUGAGGUAGUGGCUCACCAAGGCGACGACGGGUAGCCGGCCUGAGAGGGCGACCGGCCACACUGGGACUGAGACACGGCCCAGACUCCUACGGGAGGCAGCAGUGGGGAAUAUUGCACAAUGGGCGAAAGCCUGAUGCAGCGACGCCGCGUGAGGGAUGACGGCCUUCGGGUUGUAAACCUCUUUCAGCAGGGAAGAAGCGAAAGUGACGGUACCUGCAGAAGAAGCGCCGGCUAACUACGUGCCAGCAGCCGCGGUAAUACGUAGGGCGCAAGCGUUGUCCGGAAUUAUUGGGCGUAAAGAGCUCGUAGGCGGCUUGUCACGUCGGUUGUGAAAGCCCGGGGCUUAACCCCGGGUCUGCAGUCGAUACGGGCAGGCUAGAGUUCGGUAGGGGAGAUCGGAAUUCCUGGUGUAGCGGUGAAAUGCGCAGAUAUCAGGAGGAACACCGGUGGCGAAGGCGGAUCUCUGGGCCGAUACUGACGCUGAGGAGCGAAAGCGUGGGGAGCGAACAGGAUUAGAUACCCUGGUAGUCCACGCCGUAAACGGUGGGCACUAGGUGUGGGCAACAUUCCACGUUGUCCGUGCCGCAGCUAAC
RNAcentral lists this ribosomal RNA (799 nucleotides) under Streptomyces sp. D221. RNAcentral's name for it is "bacterial SSU rRNA". It matches the Rfam family "Bacterial small subunit ribosomal RNA", at positions 39 to 856 of the family's 1533-position model. The record is from RNAcentral. Lineage: Bacteria; Bacillati; Actinomycetota; Actinomycetes; Kitasatosporales; Streptomycetaceae.